AUAAAGCAGUUGGAAGUGCAGCCGGAGGAGUCCCAUCCUCAGGCAAAACCCAGGCCCAAGGGAAAGGGACAGCUCCCCAGUGCCUUACCAUGGAGCACCUCUGAUGCGUGCUGUUACUCCAGUGUGCGCAUCUUCACAGCCAGCUGUGGAGAACCCAAAGGGGCUCCUAAUCCAGUGUCCAAGGAAGGUUUAUUAAAAGCCCAUACCUGAUGUUUAAGGCAAAACUCAAUUCUUGAAAAUAAGUUCUCCCAUGGAGAAGCAAGAGUGCAUUGCGCCCUCUCCUUGUCUUAACUCCCUUCCUACAGUCAAACAUGAGGAAGGCAAGACAGGCUACAACCAAAUAAACAACCACCGCUGCAUCAGGGAUCAGGGAACAUCUGCCAGGCAGGAUGUUCUAGGGCUCUGCGUUAUCCCAACCACUCUAAAAGUAUGAUGAGCCUACAGGUCCCAGGAAAAUUUUUUCCGUAAGGCUUUUAUUAGAAGCCCUCCCAGGCUUGGGGUGAGAAGUAGAAGCGAUUGAAUAACAUACAUCAAUGUUAACUAAAGAAUGAGAACUAAGUGGCACCAUCUGAUCUGGAAACCUCCAAACUCCUCCACAUCUAGUAAAGAUUAUGGACCAAACUAUUCUUUUACUCAGUGGAAUAAAUCAGAGCCCAAUCUCUGAGGUGAAAUGAAUAAUAUACAGAAGGUGGUAAGAAUAAUUUUAUUGUAUUAUUAAAUAGCAUGUCUUCUCUUUAACCAUUACAAAUCUGUGGAUACUACAUGAAUGACAAUACAUAAUUUAUAUUUCUAUUGUUGCCUGUAUGAUAUAUUUACACAUGCAGUUAGUACAGAUGCCAUGCUACGUUUCGUCAUAGCAGAAUAUGCCCGACUUAAAAUGUGAGCAUUUCAUCAUCUAUAGGAAAAUACCUCUUGGUGGGUGGAAUGUGUGCACUAACCUGUGCUCACAAAGUCAGGAUCAUCAGCAUUUCAGGUUGGACUCCUAGAGUGUGUUCCCUUUUCUUCCAUAGUACACAGCAUUGGAGCAAUGAAUUUACAUUGGAAAAGUGCUUCUUUAUGUAAGAAUAAUAUACAUCUAGAUCCAGCAGCCUGAUGAUAAAAGGCUACAUACUCAGAGCAAAAGAGCAUUUACUACUGAUACCACAUUAGAAAAAUAUUUGGAAGCCAAGCAUAAUCAGAAUUUCAGCACAGUGAUUUUUCUUAUUUCCGGUAUAGUUUAUGGCAUCACCUGCACAGUUAUGAAAUAAUAUAUUGCAUUGUAAAGGAAGAGUUGGUGCUGAUAGCAAGUUAUGUUUUGUUUGGACUCUGAAAUGCUAAAAGACUGUUUACUUUAAGUAUUUUAUUCUUAUAACAUAAAUAAAUCUGUACACAUCCUGUGCAUUAACAUAUGACCUUUAACGAGGACUUUACAAAUGCAUCUUCAAUUUAAAAUUGUACAUUCAUUUUCAAAUUGUACAUAUUUAUUUCUUUGUUACAGAGAAAAUUGCGAUGGGACACAAUAAAUAUAGUGUAUAAGA
Long non-coding RNA from Gavialis gangeticus (Gharial), 1517 nucleotides. RefSeq lists it as uncharacterized. The record is from RefSeq and is a predicted model, not a curated record. The transcript is spliced from 3 exons. NCBI's taxonomy places the organism in Eukaryota, Metazoa, Chordata, Crocodylia, Gavialidae.